AGGGAAUAGAUACCCGGGUAGUCCUGGCAGUAAACGGUGCACGUUUGGUGUGGGCGCAAUCGACCGCGUCCGCGCCGGAGCUAAACGCGUUAAACGUGCCGCCUGGGAAGUACGGUCGCAAGAUUAAAACUCAAAGAAAUUGACGGGGACCCGCACAAGCGGUGGAGUAUGUGGCUUAAUUCGAUGCAACGCGAAGAACCUUACCUGGUCUUGACAUGCAUUGUGUCUCCGGUGAAAGCCGGAUAGGGCAGCAAUGCCCGCUUUGCACAGGUGCUGCAUGGCUGUCGUCAGCUCGUGUCGUGAGAUGUUGGGUUAAAGUUCCCGCAACGAGCGCAACCCCUGUGAUUUGUUGCCACCGGCUUAUGCCGAGCACUCGAAUCAGACUGCCUCGAUCAACGAGGAGGAAGGUGGGGAUGACGUCAAGUCCGUAUGGCCCUUACGACCAGGGCUGCACACGUACUACAAUGCUCAGCACAAUGUGAACCGAUGCCGCGAGGU
RNAcentral lists this ribosomal RNA (498 nucleotides) under uncultured bacterium. Its description in RNAcentral is "bacterial SSU rRNA". It matches the Rfam family "Bacterial small subunit ribosomal RNA", at positions 773 to 1263 of the family's 1533-position model. The record is from RNAcentral.